Molecule: ribosomal RNA, 468 nt
Filed under: uncultured bacterium
Lineage: Bacteria
Description: partial 16S ribosomal RNA
Rfam family: Bacterial small subunit ribosomal RNA
Source: RNAcentral
GACGAACGCUGGCGGCGUGCUUAACACAUGCAAGUCGAACGGAAAGGCCCUGCUCUUGUGGGGUGCUCGAGUGGCGAACGGGGGAGUAACACGUGAGUAACCUGCCCUUUACUUUGGGAGAACUUCAGGAAACUGGGGUGAAUACCGGAUAUGAACUCCUUCUGCAUGGUGUUGGUGGGAAAGUUUCGGCGGUUGGGGAUGGACUCGCGGCUUAUCAGCUUGUUGGUGGGGUAGUGGCGUACCAAGGCUUUGACGGGUAGCCGGCCUGAGAGGGUGACCGGCCACAUUGGGCCUGAGAUACGGCCCAGACUGCUACGGGAGGCAGCAGUGGGGAAUAUUGCACAAUGGGCGGAAGCCUGAUGCAGCAACGCCGCGUGCGGGAUGACGGCUUUCGGGUUGUAAACCGCUUUCGCCUGUGACGAAGCGUGAGUGACGGUAAUGGGUAAAGAAGCACCGGCUAACUACGUG